UACGAAGGGGGCUAGCGUUGCUCGGAAUCACUGGGCGUAAAGCGCACGUAGGCGGAUUGCUAAGUCAGGGGUGAAAUCCUGGAGCUCAACUCCAGAACUGCCUUUGAUACUGGCGACCUUGAGUCCGGGAGAGGUGAGUGGAGCUGCGAGUGUAGAGGUGAAAUUCGUAGAUAUUCGCAAGAACACCAGUGGCGAAGGCGGCUCACUGGCCCGGUACUGACGCUGAGGUGCGAAAGCGUGGGGAGCAAACAGG
This 253-nucleotide ribosomal RNA is filed under the name uncultured bacterium. Its description in RNAcentral is "partial 16S ribosomal RNA". It matches the Rfam family "Bacterial small subunit ribosomal RNA", at positions 524 to 776 of the family's 1533-position model. The record is from RNAcentral.